RNAcentral lists this non-coding RNA (771 nucleotides) under Curculionoidea sp. 27 KM-2017. Lineage: Eukaryota; Metazoa; Arthropoda; Insecta; Coleoptera. The record is from RNAcentral.
UAAAAGUUUUUUAGCUUAUAGUUUUUAUAUUUAAUUUAAUUAUAUACAAAAUUUAUUUGAAAUAUAAAAAUUUUUAAAUAGAAUUUUAAAAUUUUUGUUAGUAGUAAUUAAUUUUAUUAUUUUUAGAGAUUAAGAUAUAGAAAUUUAAAAUAGUAUAAACAAAAUUUGUGCCAGCAGUUGCGGUUAUACAAAUUAUGCAAUAAAUAGUUUUUGGUUUUUAGUAAAUAUAAUAAUUAGAUAAAUAAUUAAUUUUAUUAGGUGAAAUUUUAAAUUUAUAAAUUUAUUUAUUUUAUUUUAUUAACUAAUAAAAUUAAUUUUAAGACUAGGAUUAGAUACCCUAUUAUGAGUAAAGUAAUUUUAAGACCAGAUUAGUAUUUGUUAAAAUCAUGAAAAUUAAAAAAAAUGGCGGUAUUUUAGUCUAUUCAGAGGAACCUGUUUUUUAAUUGAUAAUCCACGAUUUAAAUUACUUAUUUUUUUAAUUUGUAUAUCGUUGUAGAUAGAAUAUCUUUAUUAAGGUAUAAUAUUCAAGAUUUUUUUUAAAAAAUAAGACAGAUCAAGAUGUAGUUUAUAAAUAAGUUAAAAUGGGUUACAAUAAAUUUAUUUAUGAAUAAAAUUUUUAAAUUUUUUUUGAAAUUGGAUUUGAAAGUAAUUUUGUUUAAAAUAUUCAAGAUGAUUUAAGCUCUAAGAUAUGUACAUAUUGCCCGUCGCUUUCAUUUAAUAUGAAAUAAGUCGUAACAUAGUAGAUGUACUGGAAAGUGUAUCUAGAAUGCA